RNAcentral lists this ribosomal RNA (132 nucleotides) under Escherichia coli. RNAcentral describes it as "partial 23S ribosomal RNA". The stretch from base 1 to 115 matches the Rfam family "Bacterial large subunit ribosomal RNA", at positions 2808 to 2925 of the family's 2925-position model. Lineage: Bacteria; Pseudomonadati; Pseudomonadota; Gammaproteobacteria; Enterobacterales; Enterobacteriaceae. The record is from RNAcentral.
UGACUCCUUGAGAGUCCUGAAGGAACGUUGAAGACGACGACGUUGAUAGGCCGGAUGUGUAAGCGCAGCGAUGCGUUGAGCUAACCGGUACUAAUGAACCGUGAGGCUUAACCUUACAACGCCGAAGCUGUU